Molecule: regulatory RNA element, 159 nt
Rfam family: FMN riboswitch aptamer (RFN element)
About the family: The RFN element is a highly conserved domain that is found frequently in the 5'-untranslated regions of prokaryotic mRNAs that encode for flavin mononucleotide (FMN) biosynthesis and transport proteins. This element is a metabolite-dependent riboswitch that directly binds FMN in the absence of proteins. In Bacillus subtilis, the riboswitch most likely controls gene expression by causing premature transcription termination within the 5' untranslated region of the ribDEAHT operon and precluding access to the ribosome-binding site of ypaA mRNA.
Source: Rfam
UUACGUCUUCAGGGCGGGGUGAAAGUCCCCACCGGCGGUAUGCCGCGGCGCGCAGUGCGUGUCCGGCGAGCCCGCGAGCGCUCGCAUUCCCGUGCGAGGUCAGCAGACCUGGUGAGAGGCCAGGGCCGACGGUCAUAGUCCGGAUGAAAGAAGAUGGGC